UUUGAGAGCUUCCACUGCCCCCACGCUUGCUGCCACAAUCAAAGAAACCCUCCUCGCAGAGGCCAUCUGUUUCUCUUUCUCUCUGAUACUGUGAACCAAAAGGUUGAAACAAGAAGAGUGCUUUGGUGAGUUUGCUGGAAGCGGUUGAUAUAUAAAGCCAUGAUAAAGAAGGGAUAAGAAUUGUUGGAAUGGGAGAAAACCGGGGGUGAGCUGCUGCUUGUUUUCCCUACUGGGCCCCGC
This 240-nucleotide long non-coding RNA is filed under the name Elaeis guineensis (African oil palm). RNAcentral describes it as "long non-coding RNA (EGUI_LNC075657)". Lineage: Eukaryota; Viridiplantae; Streptophyta; Magnoliopsida; Arecales; Arecaceae. The record is from RNAcentral.